Molecule: long non-coding RNA, 1074 nt
Organism: Salvia miltiorrhiza (redroot sage)
Lineage: Eukaryota; Viridiplantae; Streptophyta; Magnoliopsida; Lamiales; Lamiaceae
Exons: 2
Source: RefSeq, a predicted model, not a curated record
GUAUUUUCACGAGCUAUUUAUUUAAGCAAACACUGAACGAUUAUUACAGUUUUCAUAGUACAACCCGGAAGACUUUUUAUUUUAUUCAAUCACCUAAUUUCUCCACCUAAUUUAUCCACCUACUCUUCCACCACUAAUUUUUUCUUUUCCCUACCACUAACUUAUUUUUAUCUAAUAAACAUGAGUGGAAGUGUGAUGAGUGAAGAUAGGAUUAGUGUGCUAAGGUGGUAGGGAACCAAGCUUUAAUCAUGAAUAAUGCUUUGUCCUUAAUCAUUCUUCCAUUGCAAGACAAAGCUCAUCACUUCACUCCCUCACACUUCAAUUCUCGGCCUCCCCUCUCUCUCUCUAUACUCUCUUUUCCUCUAUUGUUGUCCAUUGAAGAAAGCUUAGAGAAGCUUCAUCAAACACUACUAUGAGAUAAUCCACCAUCCAAUCCAAUCAAAUACUAUCAUAUCUCAUCAAAUUCAAGAAGCUAGAGCUAAGAUCAAAGUUGGAGCAAAGUCUUGAUCACCUUUUAAAUCCUUGAGCUUUGUGACCAGGGGGAUUAGCGCUGCUUUCCCAAGACAGGUUUAUAUGUGAUUAUGAUCUUCAGGCUUUGCCUAACCAGGUGGGCUUACUUUCCAAAUGUACAAAGUAUGAUUGAGUUAUUAAGCUCUAAAUGUUUCAAUGAAAUGCAAAUUGUUUAUUUAAUGUAAUGAAAACUGUUUAUCCAAUAAAAUGUUUAUGUGCACUCUGCUCUGUUUAAGGCUCGCAAUUCAUGGAUCGAUCGAGGUUCUCUUAUGGCCUAACACGUUAUUUGAGAAUUGUGUACACUUGUUAGUUGUUUCGGUGGGUUGAUCUCCAUCGGGCACUAAUUCAUGUAAGAGGCGUUAUAAGGGUGCUUGGCUGGAUGUGUUCCGGAGCAUGUAUCAUGUAAGGCCUGCCUGGGUAGCGUCCCGAGGUCAAUUCAACUUGUCUGAGUUACGUCCCCAGGGCAAGUGCAAUGGGAGAAAUGGAUCCGUCGGUGGCUAGAGGUCCGGGAUCACAGCGAGUAACAGAAAGGGAGUGUGACAUGUGCGCACAAAUGAAAGAAAA